Molecule: long non-coding RNA, 8112 nt
Filed under: Zea mays
Lineage: Eukaryota; Viridiplantae; Streptophyta; Magnoliopsida; Poales; Poaceae
Description: long non-coding RNA (ZMAY_LNC005173)
Source: RNAcentral
UUUUGGCUGAGUUCAUAAAGUUCAAAUUCAAAUUUAAAUUUAAACAAAUUCUAAAUGCACAUUCAAAAUUCCAAUAUGAUGCAAAGUAUAUUUAUUUAUUAUUCCUAUUUCUCUAAAUAAACAUGCUUCAACACAUAAAGAAUGAAUCAUACAAUUAAAUAAUUAAGUACCCUUCUUGUAUUAUUAAAUAGAGUUAGUAAUAACUUAUUUCAAGAUUUAAAUGUUUAUUACCAUGAAAUCUUCAUGAGACAACACUUUCGUAUAAUUAUUUAGAGAAUAGUUUAAAGCAUAAGAUUUAAUGUUUAAUUAUUUAAGUCCCUAGAGGUUCUUUUCAUCGAUUACCUUGCUUCAAAACACAAGAAUUUAAUAUCUUGAGAAAUCUUUCCAAAUUUACCAGGAAUAUAAUUUUAGGUUGUUACAAUUUUGGUGAUUAAGUGUCCAACACAUAUUAAGUGGGUUAUUAUAUGCCAAAUGAUGAAUGAAGUGCAAAUCAACAAGAAGGUAUGUUUCUAGACUUAGUACAUUUGUUUUGGGUACUAAUGAAGUUACCUAAGUGCUAGAAACAGGAAAAGAAAAAGAUUGGAAGAGAGUGCCUGUGUGCAGCCAAGACUCAGCACAGUCUGGCACAACGGACUGUCCGGUGGUGCACCGGACAGUGUCCGGUGCGCUAGGCUGGUCUCCGGCAAACUGGUCACUCUCGAGAAACUUUGGUGGCGUACGGCUAUAAUUCACCGGACUAUCUGGUGGUGCACCGGACUGUCCGGUGAGCCAACGGCCGCCAGCGCAACAGUCGGUCGCCAAAUCCGCGGGCGACGCGUGGCCUGCUCCAACGGUCGAUAGGGGGCACCGGACAGUGUCCGGUGCGCCAACCAGCCCAAAGUUGCAACGAUCGGUUGCGCCAGGAAUGGAAGGAAAUCGCGCACCAGACAUGAACAGUGGUUGUCCGGUGGCACACCGGACUGUCCGGUGCGCCACCCGACAGAAGGUAAGAUUAGCCAUCCAAGAAUGUCUCCAACGGCUCCUAGCUGCCUUAGGGCUAUAAAAGGGACCCCUAGGCGCAUGGAAGAGUUACCCAAGCAUACUUUGAGCAUUCUAAGUCCCACACUCCGUCUCCGCGCACUUGAUUGACUUUGUUAGUGAUUUGAGCUCUGUUCUAGUAGUGAACUCGUUGUGCUUCAUUCGAGCUCAAGUCUUGGCUUGUGUGUGUGCGUAUUGCCGCAGAUUUGUGUGUGUUGCUUCCCACCCUUACUCUUGUGCUUUCACCGUGAUCUUUAUUGUAAGGGCGAGAGACUCCAACUUGUGGAGAUUCCUCGCGAACGGGAAAAGUGAUAAGUAAAGAAAAGCCGUGGUAUUCAAGUUGAUCAUUGGAUCACUUGAAAGGGGUUGAGUGCAACCCUCGUCCAUUGGGACGCCACAACGUGGAGGUAGGCAAGUGUUAUACUUGCCGAACCACAGGAUAAACCCGCGUGUCUUUUGUGAUUGUUUUUCCUUGAUACUUGUAUUCGCAAAAGCUCUCUACUUAGUCAUACUAACGCUUAACCAAGUUUCGUGGCUAUUAGUUGUUGAAUUUUACAGGAUCACCUAUUCACCCCCCUCUAGGUGCUCUCAAUUGGUAUCGGAGUCGUUCUCUUCACAAAAGGGACUAAUCGCCCAAAGAGAUGGAUUCUAAGGGAAAGGGGAUGGUGGUCAACGACAAGGAGAAGGAGUCCUUCCUCAACAAGCCAAGGGACGACAAGCCCACUGACUCUAGCUCGAGUCAUAAGAAGAAGGACGGGAAGAAGAAGAGGCGCAUCAAGAAGAUCGUCUACUACGACAGCGACGAGUCUUUUUCUUCCCCAAGAGACAACGACUACGACGAGAAAAAGAAACCGGUUAACUCAAAAUUUUCAUUUGAUUAUUCUUGUAUUCCUUAUAAUUCCAAUGCUCAUUUGCUUUCCAUUCCUCUUGGUAAACCUCCACACUUUGAUGGAGAGGACUAUGCUUUUUGGAGUCACAAAAUGCGUAGUCACUUAUUUUCUCUCCAUCCUAGUAUAUGGGAAAUAGUAGAAAAUGGAAUGCAAUUCGACAGUACCGAAAACCCCGUGUUUAUCAAUGAGCAAAUCCAUAAGAAUGCACAAGCUACCACUGUUGUGCUAGCAUCCUUGUGCAGGGACGAGUACAACAAGGUGAGCGGCUUGGACAACGCCAAGCAAAUAUGGGACACCCUCAAGAUAUCGCAUGAGGGGAACGACGCCACCAUGAUCACCAAAAUGGAGUUGGUGGAAGGUGAGCUAGGAAGGUUUGCCAUGAUCAGGGGAGAGGAGCCAACGCAAACGUACAACAGGCUCAAGACCCAGGUCAACAAGAUCAGGAGCUAUGGAAGCACGAGAUAGACGGACCACGAUGUCGUCCGACUUAUGCUCAGGUCCUUCACUGUUAUUGAUCCUCAUCUUGUGAACCUCAUUCGUGAAAAUCCCAGGUACACAAAGAUGACUACCGAGGAGAUUCUUGGGAAGUUUGUGAGCGGGAGGAUGAUGGUAAAGGAAGCGUGAUACGUGGAUGAUGCUCUCAAUGGCCCUCUACUCGUCUACGAGCCUCAACCCGUUGCUCUCAAAGCAACAAGCAGCAGGGAGGCGCUACCUAGCAAGGUGGCACAAGUUGAGGCGGCCAGGCUAAACGAGGAUGAGAUGGCCCUAAUCAUAAAGCGCUUCAAGACCGCAUUGAAAGGACGCAAGGAGUACCCUAACAAGAACAAAGCAAAGAGAAAGCGCUCCUGCUUCAAGUGUGGUAAGACUGGUCAUUUUAUAGCAAAUUGUCCCGAUAACUCUAGUGACCAGGAACAAGGAAAGGGCGGGAAGAAAGAGAAGAAAAAGAGCUAUAGGAAGGCAAAGGGCGAGGCACACAUUGGAAAGGAAUGGGACUCGGACUGCUCAUCUUCCGAUUUCGACGACGAAGGACUCGCUGCCUCAGCCUUCAACAAGUCCAAUCUCUUCCCCAACGAACGCCACACCUGCCUCAUGGCAAAGGAGAAAAAGGUAAACGUUCGUGAAACCCCUAAGUAUACUACUUCAAGCGAUGAUGAAUCUAGUGAUGAUGAAGUAGACUAUACUGAAUUAUUUAAGGGUUUAGAUAGAUCAAAAGUAGAUAAAAUUAAUGAGUUAAUUGAUGCUUUAAACAAAAAGGAUAGACUUUUAGAAAAGCAAGAGGAUAUAUUGUAUGAAGAGCAUGAUAAACUUGUUAGUGCACAAAAGUCUCUUGUUUUAGAAACUAAAAGAAAUGAAUUGUUAUCCUCUGAAUUAUCCGUGUGCCAUGAAUCAAUCUCUUGUUUAAAGAUUUUGAAUGAUGAUUUAAAUAAUAAGCUAGAAGUAGCUAAUAAAUCUAGUUCAUGUGUAGAACAUGUUGUAAUUUGUAAUAGAUGUAAGGACUUUGAUUUUAAUGCUUGUAAUGAACAUCUCAUUGCUAUUAUAAAAUUGAAUGAUGAAGUGGCAAGUCUUAAUGCUAAACUUAAGACUUGCAAAAGUGACUUUGAUAAGUUAAAAUUUGCUAGGGAUGCCUACACGGUUGGUAGACACCCCUCAAUUAAGGAUGGGCUUGGCUUUCGGAAGGAAGCCAAGAACUUAACAAGCCAAAGGGCUCCCACUCUCAACAAGGAGAAAGGGAAGGCCCCUAUGGCUAGUAGCAUUCAAAGGAAUCAUGCGUUCAUUUAUGAUAGAAAAUUUUCUAGGAAUGCUCAUUAUAACAGGAGUUAUGAUGAUUAUGAUUCACAUGCUAUGAUUGCUUCAAGUUAUACUUUUGUGCAUGGUAGAAGUAGGCCUAGGAAGGGAAAUGUUAUUCAUCAUGUGCCUAGGAAAAUGCAUAAUGAAUCUGCUACUGUUUUUUAUGCCUGCAACACUGAUUUUGUAGUUUCAUGUAAAAAUAAGAAAGUGGUUGCUAGGAAGUUGGGGGCCAAAUGUAAGCGAGACAAGACAUGCAUUUGGGUCCCAAAGGAUAUUGUGACUAACCUUGUAGGACCCAACAAGAGUUGGGUACCUAAAACCCAAGCGUAAAUUGUCUUGCAGGUUUAUGCAUCCGAGGGCUCAAGCUGGAUUAUCGACAGUGGAUGCACAAACCACAUGACGGGGGAGAAGAAGAUGUUCACCUCCUACGUCAAGAACAAGGAUUCCUAGGAUACGAUUAUCUUUGGAGAUGGGAACCAAGGCAAGGUCAAAGGCUUGGGCAAGAUAGCCAUCACAAAUGAGCACUCUAUCUCUAAUGUAUUUUUAGUAGAGUCGCUAGGCUAUAAUCUCCUGUCUGUUAGUCAAUUAUGCCACAUGGGAUACAAUUGUUUGUUUACAAAUGUUGAUGUAUCUGUCAUUAGAAGGAGUGAUGGUUCAUUAGCGUUUAAGGGUGUACUAGAUGGCAAACUCUACUUAGUUGAUUUUUCGAAAGAGGAGGCCGAUCUAGAUGCAUGCUUAAUCGCUAAGACUAGUAUGGGCUGGCUGUAGCAUCGUCGUCUAGCACAUGUUGGGAUGAAGAACCUUCACAAACUUCUAAACGGAGAUCAUGUGUUAGGACUAACCAAUGUAUGCUUCGAAAAAGAUAGACCUUGUGCAGCGUGUCAGGCAGGAAAACAAGUGGGAAGCACUCAUCACAACAAAAAUGUGAUGACGACAUCAAGACCAGUGGAGCUACUACAUAUGGACCUCUUCGGACCCGUCGCCUACCUUAGCAUCGGGGGAAGUAAGUAUGGUCUUGUUGUUGUUGAUGAUUUUUCCCGCUUCACUUGGGUAUUCUUUUUACAGGAUAAAUCAGAAACCCAAGGGACCCUCAAGCGCUUUAUAAGGCAAGCUCAAAACGAAUUUGAGCUCAAAGUGAAAAAGAUUAGAAGCGACAACGGGUCCGAGUUCAAGAAUUUUCAAGUGGAGGAGUACCUUGAGGAGAAAGGAAUCAAGCACGAGUUCUCCGCUCCCUACACACCAUAGCAAAACGGUGUGGUAGAGAGGAAGAACAGGACGCUGCUUGGAGAAUUCAAGACGCCCGAGCGGUUUUGGUCGGAAGCUGUGAACACAGCUUGCCACGCCAUAAACUGGCUCUACCUUCAUCGCCUCCUCAAGAAGACCUUGUAUGAACUUCUGACUGGUAACAAACCCAAUGUCUCAUACUUUCGUGUAUUUGGGAGUAAAUGUUACAUUCUAGUGAAGAAAGGUAGAAACUCUAAAUUUGCUCCCGAAGUUGUAGAAGGGUUUUUGCUAGGUUAUGACUCAAAUACAAAGGCGUAUAGAGUCUUCAACAAAUCAUCGGGUUUGGUUGAAGUCUCUAGCGACGUUGUAUUUGAUGAAACUAAUGGCUCUCCAAGAGAGCAAGUUGAUCUUGAUGAUGUAUAUGAAGAUGACGUUCCAACGGACGCAACUCGCACCAUGACGAUUGGAGACGUGCGACCACAGGAACAACAAGAGCAAGAUCAACCUUCUUCUUCAACAAUGGUGCACCCCCCAACUCAAGAUGAUGAACAGGUUCUUCAAGAGGAGGCGUGUGAUCAAUGGGGAGCACAAGAAGAUCAAGUUAUGGAGGAAGAAGCACCACGGGCCCCUCCAACUCAAGUCCGAGCAACGAUUCAAAGGAAUCAUCCCGUCGACCAGAUUCUAGGGGAUAUAAGCAAGGGAGUAACUACUCGCUCAAGACUACCUAACUUUUGUGAGCAUUACUCGUUUGUCUCUUCUAUUGAGCCUUUUAGGGUAGAAGAGGCCUUGCAAGAUCCGGACUGGGUGUUGGCCAUGCAGGAAGAGCUCAACAACUUCAAGAGGAAUGAAGUUUGGAGCCUAGUGCCACGUCCCAAGUAAAACGUUGUGGGAACCAAGUGGGUGUUCCGCAACAAGCAAGACGAGCACGGGGUGGUAACAAGGAACAAGGCUCGACUUGUGGCAAAAGGUUAUGCCCAAGUCGCAGGUUUGGAUUUUGAGGAGACUUUUGCUCCUGUGGCUAGGCUAGAGUCUAUUCGCAUUUUGUUAGCCUAUGCCGCUCACCACUCUUUCAGGUUGUUCCAAAUGGAUGUGAAGAGCGCUUUCCUCAACGGGCCAAUCAAGGAGGAGGUGUAUGUGGAGCAACCCCCUGGCUUUGAGGAUGAACGGUACCCCGACCAUGUGUGUAAGCUCUCUAAGGCGCUCUAUGGACGUAAGCAAGCCCCAAGAGCAUGGUAUGAAUGCCUUAGAAAUUUUCUAAUUGCUAAUGCUUUCAAGGUUGGGAAAGCCGAUCCAACUCUUUUCACUAAGACUUGUGAUGGUGACCUAUUUGUGUGCUAAAUUUAUGUUGAUGACAUAAUAUUUGGUUCUACUAACCAAAAGUCUUGUGAGCAGUUUAGCAGGGUGAUGACACAGAAAUUUGAGAUGUCGAUGAUGGGCGAGUUGAACUACUUCCUUGGGUUCCAAGUGAAGCAACUAAAGGACGACACCUUCAUCUCCCAAACGAAGUACACUCAAGAUCUUCUCAAGCGGUUUGGGAUGAAGGACGCCAAGCUCGUGAAGACACCAAUGGGAACCGAUGGACAUAUCGACCUUAACAAAGGAGGUAAGUCCGUUGAUUAAAAGGCAUACCGGUCUAUGAUAGGAUCCUUGCUUUAUUUAUGUGCUAGUAGACCGGAUAUUAUGCUUAGUGUAUGCAUGUGUGCUAGUUUUCAAUCCGAUCAAAGGGAGUGUCAACUUGUGGCCGUUAAGCGAAUUCUUAGAUAUUUAGUUGCUACGCCUUGCUUCGGGAUCUGGUAUCCAAAGGGGUCUACCUUUGACUUGAUUGGAUAUUCAGACUUCGAUUAUGCUGGAUGCAAGGUUGAUAGGAAGAGUACAUCAGGGACGUACCAAUUCCUAGGAAGGUCCCUGGUGUCUUGGAGUUCUAAGAAACAAACCUCCGUUGCCGUAUCCACCGCUGAGGCCGAGUACGUUGACGCAGGACAGUGUUGCGCGCAACUACUUUGGAUGAGGCCAACCCUCCGGGACUUUGGCUACAAUUUGAGCAAAGUCCCACUCCUAUGUGACAAUGAGAGUGCAAUUCGCAUGGUAGAUAAUCCCGUUGAACACAGCCGCACUAAGCACAUAGACAUCCGGCAUCACUUCCUGAGAGACCACCAGCAAAAGGGAGAUAUCGAAGUGUUCUAUAUUAGCACCGAGAACCAGCUAGCCGAUAUCUUUACCAAGCCUUUAGAUGAGAAAACCUUUUGCAGGCUGCGUAGUGAGCUAAAUGUCUUAGAUUCGCGUAACUUGGAUUGAUUUAUAGCAUACAUGUGUUUUAUGCCAUUGAUCAAGUUACUUAAUGCAUUUAUGAGAUUUAUUGGUUAUUUAUGGUGCUCAAGUUGUGCAAGGGAUCCCCGGACCUUACAAGUCCAUGUGUGAAUGAUGCACAUAUUUAGGGGGAGAAGUGCUACAACUUGACUCUUUGAGACUAACAUUUGUGUUGAGUUUACUUAAUGUAGCCUCAAAGGUGAAUUGAAAGGGAAGUGUGAACUUGUACCAUGCAAAGACUUCCACUGCACUCCGGUAUUAACUCCAAGUUCAUAUCUACGCUCUUAUUGCCUUUUUGCUCCUAAUUGACAAUUUUGGUAAGGCAAUGGGGUUCAGGGGCCAAGAAUGAUCCUGUUUUGGUGCUUAAUGCCAAAGGGGGAGAAAUUAAGGCCAAAGCAAAUGGAUCAGCUACCACUUAAGAAUUUUGAAAAUAGUAGAGUUAGAACUUUUGAUUUGUCAAAAUACUCUUAUUUUGGUCUCUUCUGGGGAGAAUGUUUGAUUAUGGGAAAAAGGGGGAGUUUUUGGCUCUUAAUCAUUUUUACUCUUGGAUUAUCUUUCUUUAUGCCCAAACAAGUGUGUUUGACUUAGAGAUAGGAAAAUGAUUUUGAUUUGCAAAAACAAACCAAGUGGUGGCAAAGAACGAUCCAAAUAUGCCAAAUCUUGUCAAAGACUAUUUUUGUUCUCAAUUGCAUUGAUGUUGCACUUCUAUUUGUUGCUUUUUGAUGUGUUGGCAUAAAUCACUAAAAAGGGGGAGAUUGAAAGGGAAAUGUGCCCUUGGGCCAUUUCUAGUAUACUUUGGUGAUUAAGUGUCCAACACAUAUUAAUUGGGUUAUUAUAUGCCAAAUGAUGAAUGAAGUGCAAAUCAACAAGAAGGUAUGUUUCUAGA